Quercus lobata is the source of this 3225-nucleotide RNA transcript. It is a transcript of the gene named protein tesmin/TSO1-like CXC 2, with no coding region annotated. The transcript has 13 exons. Lineage: Eukaryota; Viridiplantae; Streptophyta; Magnoliopsida; Fagales; Fagaceae. The record is from RefSeq and is a predicted model, not a curated record.
AAACACAAACCUAGUACGCCACUUUCCCGCUCGCUUUUAAGGUUCAAAACAUUAUAAACCUAUGCCUAUGUCCACUGUCCACACUAUUUCUUGUCACUUUCACGCGAAAACUAGACGGAAAAUUUUUCUCUUUUCAUUUUCCAUGCGAACAGAACAAAAUAUAGAAAUUUAGAUUCCGAACUAAAACUAUGAAUUCCCCUGAGUCCAAUCGGGUCGCCGCCACGUCAUCACCCAGUUCUUCCAACAAGUCUCCGCCUGUGCAAGAAUCACCAUUCUCCAAUUUCCUUAGCAAUCUCUCCCCUAUAAAGUCAGUUAAGGCAGUACGUUAUACACAAAGGUUUUUGGAAUCUAAUUUUCCAACCCCACCGCCCGUGUUUACAUCACCUCGCAUAGAUCUGCAGAGAGAGACUGGUCUUCUGGAAAGAAACAAUAUAGUUGAAGAAGAUUCAAAUAUUCGUGAACAGUGUAAUACCCAGUUGAGUGUUGCACAAAUUCCUAGCUUAGAGAAGGAAGUCCAAUCAUGCAGUCCUUCAGGGAGUGUUGAUGAAUAUCUGGCAGAUAUUGUGGAGGUGGACUGUACACAUUCAGCACAUAAACAUUUGCAAUUAGCUAAUCAAGUGUCUCAAAUGUUACAGGGUGGUUUCACUGACCCCAAAGAAACCCCAAAAGAAACCAUAAGAAAAGUUGACACUGUGGAUAGCAGGAGCAGUAGAGAGGCUAGAACUCUGACAUCAUCCGAUCAAGCCAAACAGAAUUUACCUUUAACUUCACUUAAUUUGGUUGAUGAUUUAGUUGAUUUGAGGAAUGAUGAAAGUUUUAAUGUUUUCCUAAAGAUUACAUCUGAAGAUGUCAAUGACAUUGUUGAUUCUGAUGUGAAUCUAAACACUGCUUUAGGAGCGCAACAAUAUGCAGCUCAGUCACUUUCUGAAUCUUUGCAGAUUGACGAGGCGUUUGAAGAUUCUGAUGACAGUUCAAGAGCAUUACCAAAAGAAUUUGUGAAGGAGGCCAAUCAUCACCAACGUGGUAUACGUAGACAUCUUCAUUUUGAAGCUGCUUUAGCCUGCAAGAGUGUAGCUACUGGAAAUACAACCAAUUCAAGGGCUAGCCUAACAAACUUGAAGAGUCUGGGUUUGUCUCAUGUUGAAAGUAGGGUAACCUCCAGUGGUGGGGAGGCAGUCAACUAUGCUCAGUCCAGGGCUUCCAAGUCCUCUUUUGGCCCCUUUGAAGUGGUGAGAUCUACUCAAAAUAGCAGGAAUCCUGUAAUCUUGUCCCCGAUUCCAUCUGGUAUGGGGUUACAUCUAAAUAGCACUGUCAGAUCUGUGUCCUUGGGCACGGAUAUGUUUGCAUGUGAGAACUUAACUAGGUAUGGAAGUUCACAAGAUAAGGAAGUUCAUGAGAGGAGCAAUGAUUCAGCAGAAGAACCAAAUAAUACCUCAAUUUCAGCUGUAGCUGGGACUAUGUAUUCUUAUACAGAUAUAGAUCAGCAGGAAAGUCAAGCUGGUGUGGCAGCCAGUUCUGACACCUACCCUAUCAACAGUCUGAAUCCCCCAUGUGAUUCUCCUUUGGCACGAACUGAGCAGCAGGUUAUUCCAUGUGAGGGGAGAAUAUCUACUCCACAAAAUGCUGACAGUGUUGAGGAGUUGAACCAAGAGAGCUCCAAUAAGAAAAGGAAGAGGCCAUCAAACACAAGUGAGAGUCAUGGCUGCAAACGUUGCAAUUGUAAGAGGUCCAAAUGCUUAAAACUUUAUUGUGAGUGCUUUGCGGCUGGAGUUUAUUGUGUGGAUUCUUGCGCAUGCGUAAACUGCUUUAACAAGCCUGAAUAUGAGGACACAGUUCUUGAUAUACGACAGCAAAUCGAAUCUCGUAAUCCUCUUGCAUUUGCUCCAAAGGUUGUUAAGCUUGACACUGACUCUCCAGCAAUAAUUAUGGAAGCAGGGAACCGGAAUACUCCAUCAUCAGCCAGGCACAAAAGAGGAUGCAAUUGUAAAAAAUCAAAGUGCCUUAAAAAAUAUUGUGAAUGCUACCAGGCUAAUGUUGGAUGCUCUGAUGGAUGUCGAUGUGAGGGUUGUCAAAAUUCUUUUGGAACAAGUUCAGAAUGCAGGAGAGUUGAAAACCCAUCUCAUGAGGUGAGUGGAAAGGAUGGGAGUAUUGAGCAAUUCUCACCAACAUGGCAAGGACUUGCUGAUAUACGUAGUCUUGCCCCUUGCUCAGGGGCACUAAUGUUUGCUCCAUCCAAUAUAAGGGACUGCUCAAAAGUUUCACAAACCAAAUUGCAACGGGGAAGUAGCAUUCAGCCACAAGCUGGUUCCCUUCAAUGGAAUUAUUCCCCUGUCAUUCUUACACCUCAGUUAGGUGACAGUAAGGGCUCCCAUGAGCUCACUUCAGACAGUGCACUCUGUGAUAUAAUAGAGGAUGAAGAUAUGCCUGAGAUUCUCAAGGACACUUCUACCCCUCUCAAGGCAGUGAAAGCUAGCUCGCCAAAUCAGAAACAGGUGAUGCCUCCACAUUGUCGAUCGGAUGGUCAAAGGUCAAGCUCUCCACAUGGCAUGAGAAGUGUCCGGAAAUUCAUUUUGCAGACGAUGCCUCCUUUCCCUCCUCUUACCCCAUACAGUAAUUCUAAAGGCCGUGUCAACCAAAAAGAAAAUGAUCAGAAAAAUAAUAUUGGCAAUCAUUGAUUUGAUUGCAUGGAGUUGGCAUUGGCUAGUAAACUGCUUUGAACUUUAUGAGUGCAGCUGGAGACAGCCUUUAUAUUGAAUCCCACUCUAAGAAGUAGAAAGACUCAAUUCUUUAUUAUAGAUGGAUGUGGCAUAUGAAUAAGAACAGAUUAUGUUGCUUUCAAGAACCCUGGCUGCAAGGGGCAACCUAAGCAUGGAAUAACAGUCCAAAGAAAUAGAUUUUCUAAAAAUUGUAUCUGAUAAUGUAUUAGAACUGUGGAAUAAACUACAUUCACAAAACAUCAUCUGAAAAAUGAAUGACUUACAAGUGUGGGUUCCAUAUGGAGCUUUAGGAUGAUUUUGUUUCACACAAAGACAAAGUCUCAAACAAACAUUUUUUUUGAACAUUAUAACAUUUUCUUUUUAGUGUAAGUAUGUUCAAAAGUAAAUCUACUUUGGACUUCUACACAAUUUGAGCAUUGCAUAUUAAAAUGAACAAAAAUAUUAUGAGUCAUUAGAGCCAUUGGCGUAUGUAGAGUUCGGAAGAAUAAAAAAAAGGUCAUACACAGUG